Molecule: long non-coding RNA, 826 nt
Organism: Daphnia pulex (common water flea)
Lineage: Eukaryota; Metazoa; Arthropoda; Branchiopoda; Diplostraca; Daphniidae
Exons: 2
Source: RefSeq, a predicted model, not a curated record
CUCUUCUAAAAUUCUCGAUCAACUAUCAAGUCUAAUCUGCAAUGGAAUCGAAUGACCAUUGUGAACAAGAUCAAACUGAAAUGGUUAAGAGACUUAAAAAGAAAAAGAAAACUAUCGGAAGAGUUUUGUCAAAACAAAAAGACAAAGCAAAAAAAAAAAGAUUGGCAGCGAUAAAGGAAUGAAUUUACAAGUUGUUGGCUGAUACUUAAAUUGAAAAUCUAUUUUUAAACUUUAGAUUAAGUAUGGGAAUGUUACAAAGAAAAAGUCUUGUGGACCUCCAGCUGAUUGGGAUUUGCACUGGGGUAGUAUGAGUGAAAAGGAGCAAAGAAAUCUCUCUAGGCGUCAAAGUCAUGCAGUAGCAUCAUUGUUAAAAAAGAUGGAGGACAUGGAAACCCAAUUUGGAGCCAGUAUUUUGGCAAACAUACGUUUCCCAAAUGGAUCUCAACAAUAACUUUAUACAAUGAAAGUUGGUGAAGGAAUCAAGUUUACUGAAACCAGUGAAGGCUUGUUGUUUAUUUUAUCCUUCAAACGUUACUUCAAUACGAUUCAGAGUAAAAUAUAGUAUGUCUUUAAAAUUUCAGUAUUUAUUAAUCAUAAUUUUGUCGACACUUUAUAGAAAGGAGAAUUGAGACUGUAGAGGAAGUAAGAGGACUUUCCACGAAGAAAAAAAAGUGUUUUGCAGACAAACGGGUAAGGAAGGAGCUCCGAAAGGAUAAGACUACAACUCUACCUGAAUAUUCAGAUUCAGAAUCAGCAUAUGAAUUCAAGAGUGAUGAAGAAGGAAAUAGUGUUCAAGAAGGAAAUAGUCGUCAAGAAGUAAACAGUG